This 253-nucleotide ribosomal RNA is filed under the name uncultured bacterium. RNAcentral describes it as "partial 16S ribosomal RNA". It matches the Rfam family "Bacterial small subunit ribosomal RNA", at positions 524 to 776 of the family's 1533-position model. The record is from RNAcentral.
UACGUAGGGGGCAAGCGUUAUCCGGAUUCUCUGGGUGUAAAGGGAGCGUAGACGGCCAUGCAAGCCAGGGGUGAAAGCCCGGGGCCCAACCCCGGGACUGCCCUUGGAACUGCAUGGCUGGAGUGCGGGAGGGGCAGGCGGAAUUCCUGGUGUAGCGGUGAAAUGCGUAGAUAUCAGGAGGAACACCGGCGGCGAAGGCGGCCUGCUGGACCGCGACUGACGUUGAGGCUCGAAAGCGUGGGGAGCGAACAGG